This 391-nucleotide unclassified non-coding RNA is filed under the name soil metagenome. RNAcentral describes it as "partial contains 5.8S ribosomal RNA, internal transcribed spacer 2, and large subunit ribosomal RNA". The stretch from base 1 to 122 matches the Rfam family "5.8S ribosomal RNA", at positions 35 to 154 of the family's 154-position model. The record is from RNAcentral.
GAUGAAGAACGUAGCGAAAUGCGAUACUUGGUGUGAAUUGCAGAAUCCCGUGAACCAUCGAGUCUUUGAACGCAAGUUGCGCCCGAAGCCAUUAGGCCGAGGGCACGCCUGCCUGGGCGUCACACGUCGUUGCCCCCCCAUCUACUCCUUCGGGAUUGCGGGGGGCGGAUGAUGGCCUCCCGUGCGCCACGCCGCGCGGUUGGCAUAAAUGCCAAGUCCUCGGCGACGCACGCCACGACAAUCGGUGGUUGCGAAACCUCGGUUGCCCGUCGUGUGCGGUCGUCGCGCAUCGAGGGCUCGAAAAAAUUGCCGGGUUCCGGCUCGGCUUUCAACGCGACCCUAGGUCAGGCGGGGUUACCCGCUGAAUUUAAGCAUAUCAAUAAGCGGAGGA